GGAGAGAUGGCAGAGUGGUUGAAUGCGUCGGUCUCGAAAGCCGAAGAGGGUUCACGCCCUCCCAGGGUUCGAAUCCCUGUCUCUCCGCCA
This 90-nucleotide transfer RNA is filed under the name Cardiobacterium valvarum. Its description in RNAcentral is "tRNA-Ser(cga)". It matches the Rfam family "tRNA". Rfam says of the family: Transfer RNA (tRNA) molecules are approximately 80 nucleotides in length. Their secondary structure includes four short double-helical elements and three loops (D, anti-codon, and T loops). Lineage: Bacteria; Pseudomonadati; Pseudomonadota; Gammaproteobacteria; Cardiobacteriales; Cardiobacteriaceae. RNAcentral also lists the same sequence under 1 other name. The record is from RNAcentral.